GGGGCCUUAGCUCAGCUGGUCAGAGCAGGGGACUCAUAAUCCCUUGGUCGCGGGUUCAAGCCCCGCAGGCCCUAC
This 75-nucleotide transfer RNA is filed under the name Mycobacteroides abscessus subsp. bolletii. RNAcentral describes it as "tRNA-Met(cat)". It matches the Rfam family "tRNA". Rfam says of the family: Transfer RNA (tRNA) molecules are approximately 80 nucleotides in length. Their secondary structure includes four short double-helical elements and three loops (D, anti-codon, and T loops). RNAcentral also lists the same sequence under 1 other name. The record is from RNAcentral. Lineage: Bacteria; Bacillati; Actinomycetota; Actinomycetes; Mycobacteriales; Mycobacteriaceae.